UACGGAGGGUGCAAGCGUUAUCCGGAUUCACUGGGUUUAAAGGGUGCGUAGGAGGGCAGGGAAGUCCGUGGUGAAAUCCUAGAGCUUAACUCUAGAACUGCCGUGGAUACUCUCUGUCUUGAAUGCCGUGGAGAUGAGCGGAAUAUGUCAUGUAGCGGUGAAAUGCUUAGAUAUGACAUAGAACACCAAUUGCGAAGGCAGCUCGUUACACGAACAUUGACUCUGAGGCACGAAAGCGUGGGGAUCAAAC
Molecule: ribosomal RNA, 250 nt
Filed under: uncultured bacterium
Lineage: Bacteria
Description: partial 16S ribosomal RNA
Rfam family: Bacterial small subunit ribosomal RNA
Source: RNAcentral